RNAcentral lists this ribosomal RNA (427 nucleotides) under uncultured archaeon. RNAcentral's name for it is "bacterial SSU rRNA". It matches the Rfam family "Archaeal small subunit ribosomal RNA", at positions 474 to 903 of the family's 1478-position model. The record is from RNAcentral.
AACCAGCACCUCAAGUGGUCAGGAUGAUUAUUGGGCCUAAAGCAUCCGUAGCCUGCUUUGUUAGUUUUCGGUUAAAUCUGUACGCUCAACGUACAGGCUGCCGGGAAUACUGCAAAGCUAGGGAGUGGGAGGGGUAGACGGUACUCGGUAGGAAGGGGUAAAAUCCUUUGAUCUAUUGAUGACCACCUGUGGCGAAGGCGGUCUACCAGAACACGUCCGACGGUGAGGGAUGAAAGCUGGGGGAGCAAACCGGAUUAGAUACCCGGGUAGUCCCAGCCGUAAACCAUGCAAACUCAGUGAUGCAUUGGCUUGUGGCCAAUGCAGUGCUGCAGGGAAGCCGUUAAGUUUGCCGCCUGGGAAGUACGUACGCAAGUAUGAAACUUAAGGAAUUGGCGGGGAGCACCACAAGGGGUGAAGCCUGCGGUUC